RNAcentral lists this transfer RNA (84 nucleotides) under Roseinatronobacter ekhonensis. RNAcentral describes it as "Roseibaca ekhonensis tRNA-Leu". It matches the Rfam family "tRNA". From Rfam's summary of the family: Transfer RNA (tRNA) molecules are approximately 80 nucleotides in length. Their secondary structure includes four short double-helical elements and three loops (D, anti-codon, and T loops). The record is from RNAcentral. RNAcentral also lists the same sequence under 6 other names. Lineage: Bacteria; Pseudomonadati; Pseudomonadota; Alphaproteobacteria; Rhodobacterales; Paracoccaceae.
GCGGGUGUGGCGGAAUGGUAGACGCAGAGGAUUCAAAAUCCUCCGCCGCAAGGCGUGGGAGUUCGAGUCUCCCCACCCGCACCA